This is a long non-coding RNA of Homo sapiens (human), 1064 nucleotides long. NCBI's taxonomy places the organism in Eukaryota, Metazoa, Chordata, Mammalia, Primates, Hominidae. The record is from Ensembl.
AGAGGGCUUUUGGAGAGCUGGACAUGUGGAGGCCGACAGGAAGGUGAAGAAGUCAUCUGCGUGCUGUGAGGGUGGCGCACCCCAACUCCAUGGGGACAGAAGGUCCUGCAUUUAGGACCCUUCCAGACCUCACACCUAUGUAUCUCUUCAUCUGGCUGAUUACUUAUAUCCUUUCAAAGACGCUUCUUAGUAAACUGUGCCUCCCUCACAUGGCCAGCGGAGAAGGGCCUUGCCCUACCUCUCAGACUGCAGCCCUGAGCCACUCCUUGGAGGUGAGGAGCACCAUUCACCUGAGCAGCUCCCCGCCCUGGUGUCUGAGAAAUAAAUCUGCCUUCAGUCAUACGGUUCUACCAAUCUGAGCACACGACCACCUGAUAGGGUACUGAGGAUGGCUUCUGACCUGGAGGCAUCAAGGACCUGAAGGCAGUAACCAUUUCAGAGGACAGCCACAUCCCUCAAAUUACAAACAUCUAAAAUGUCCAUUAACUGUUGAGUGGAUAUAUAAAUUCUGAUGUUUUAUAAAAUGGCAUACCCUACAUCAAUGAAGAUGAAUGAAUUACUUCUGCAUAAAACAAUAUACAUGCAUCUAACCAAUAUGACACUGAGUGAAAAAAGACAUCCAUAGAAGAGCACAGCUCACCAUUCAGGAGCAUCACCCUGGUCCAAGCCACCUUCAGCUCUCACCUAGACUAACACAGUUCUUCCUGUCUCCAUGAGCCUCCUCUCCAGUUGCUGUAUUGCAAAUAACAAUCAAAACAGCAUUUAAAAGCAAAACAACAACAGCAAACAAAUGACCAUAAUAAGCUGUAUGGCAGCAGGAGAGAGAUUAUACAAGCUUUGGUGACUAAAUACUUAAAAAUGUCUGAACUAGAUGAAAUAAUCAAGAUUGUCGUUUGGGGAAGAAACGCCUGAGUGUUUCAAGUGUUGACAAAUCCAUGUCCACUCACAUCCAUGGGAGCCCCUUCUUUCUUAUUGGUUUCAUCACUUCCUAUAAUUCAUCUCUCUCAGCUUCUCCAGAGCCUGACAUAAGCUGACAGAGUCAUGAAUUUAAUAAACUAGAAUAA